This 776-nucleotide ribosomal RNA is filed under the name uncultured Neocallimastigales. Its description in RNAcentral is "partial large subunit ribosomal RNA". It matches the Rfam family "Eukaryotic large subunit ribosomal RNA", at positions 24 to 628 of the family's 3401-position model. Lineage: Eukaryota; Fungi; Neocallimastigomycota; Neocallimastigomycetes; Neocallimastigales. The record is from RNAcentral.
GUAGUCUCGCACAGAUGCAUAUCAAUAAGCGGAGGAAAAGAAACUAACAAGGAUUCCCCUAGUAACGGCGAGUGAAGCGGGAAGAGCUCAAAUUUGAAAUCUUAAAGGGUUUCCCUUUACGAAUUGUAGUUUAAAGAAGUGUUUUCUGUUGAGGUUUUGGUAAAAGUUCUUUGGAAUAGGACAUCAUAGAGGGUGAGAAUCCCGUAUUUGACCUUUACUUUCAACUUUGUGAUACACUUUCAAAGAGUCGGAUUGUUUGGGAAUGCAGUCCAAAAUGGGUGGUAAAUUUCAUCUAAAGCUAAAUAUUAGGCGAGAGACCGAUAGCGAACAAGUACCGUGAGGGAAAGAUGAAAAGAACUUUGAAAAGAGAGUUAAACAGUACGUGAAAUUGUCAAAAGGGAAGCGUUUGACACCAGUGUUGUUUUUCUGAAAAUCAAUUAAAGAACUGUUUAUGCUAAGCUGUUUAGACUUUAUCAGCUAAUCUGUUUAGUUUUGAGCUUUUCUUUAAUGCACUUUUCAGUUAACAAGUCAACAUCAAUUUCUUUUGCUGUAAAAAAGCUCGAGGAAGGUGGCUUGAGAUUCGUCUUAAGUGUUUAUAGCCUCUUGCCUAUGCAGUCGGAGAGAUUGAGGUCUGCAGCGUAGAUCCUUCGGGGCUAAAUGCAUUUGUGCUAAGUUAUAGCAUUUUAUAGACAACUUGUUGACUAUGAUUUGUCUUGUAGCUUACUCGCUUAUGUUAUUUUACCUACGCUUAGGAUGUUGAAGACUCUACAGAGAUA